UACGUAGGUGGCGAGCGUUGUCCGGAAUUACUGGGUGUAAAGGGCGUGUAGGCGGGAAAUUAAGUCAGAUGUGAAAUUCCAGGGCUCAACCCUGGCGCUGCAUCUGAAACUAGUUUUCUUGAGUGCUGGAGAGGAAAGCGGAAUUCCUAGUGUAGCGGUGAAAUGCGUAGAUAUUAGGAGGAACACCAGUGGCGAAGGCGGCUUUCUGGACAGUAACUGACGCUGAGGCGCGAAAGCGUGGGGAGCAAACAGG
Molecule: ribosomal RNA, 253 nt
Filed under: uncultured bacterium
Lineage: Bacteria
Description: partial 16S ribosomal RNA
Rfam family: Bacterial small subunit ribosomal RNA
Source: RNAcentral